ACACGAACUGCGCGAACGUUAUUCGGAAUCACUGGGCUUAAAGAGUCCGUAGGCGGCUGAUCAGGUGGGGUGUGAAAUCCCUCGGCUCAACCGAGGAAUUGCGCCUCAAACCGGUCAGCUCGAGGGAGAUAGAGGUGAGCGGAACUGAUGGUGGAGCGGUGAAAUGCGUUGAUAUCAUCAGGAACACCGGUGGCGAAAGCGGCUCACUGGGUCUCUUCUGACGCUGAGGGACGAAAGCUAGGGGAGCAAACGGGAUUAGAAACCCCAGUAGUCC
Molecule: ribosomal RNA, 274 nt
Filed under: uncultured bacterium
Lineage: Bacteria
Description: partial 16S ribosomal RNA
Rfam family: Bacterial small subunit ribosomal RNA
Source: RNAcentral